AUUGAACGCUGGCGGCAGGCCUAACACAUGCAAGUCGAGCGGAUGAAGGGAGCUUUCUCCUGGAUUCCGCGGCGGACGGGUGGGUAAUGCCUAGGAAUCUGCCUGGUAGUGGGGGAUAACGUCCGGAAAGGGGCGCUGAUACCGCAUACGUCCUGAGGGAGAAAGGGGGGGAUCUUCGGACCUCACGCUAUCAGAUGAGCCUAGGCCGUAUUAGCUAGUUGGUGGGGUAACGGCCUACCAAGGCGACGAUCCGUAACUGGUCUGAGAGGAUGAUCAGUCACACUGGAACUGAGACACGGUCCAGACUCCUACGGGAGGCAGCAGUGGGGAAUAUUGGACAAUGGGCGAAAGCCUGAUCCAGCAAUGCCGCGUGUGUGAAGAAGGUCUUCGGAUUGUAAAGCACUUUAAGUUGGGAGGAAGGGCAGUAAGUUAAUACAUGGAUGUUUUGACGUUACCAGCACAAUAAGCACCGGCUAACUUCGUG
RNAcentral lists this ribosomal RNA (484 nucleotides) under uncultured bacterium. RNAcentral describes it as "partial 16S ribosomal RNA". It matches the Rfam family "Bacterial small subunit ribosomal RNA", at positions 30 to 507 of the family's 1533-position model. The record is from RNAcentral.